Molecule: long non-coding RNA, 215 nt
Filed under: Elaeis guineensis (African oil palm)
Lineage: Eukaryota; Viridiplantae; Streptophyta; Magnoliopsida; Arecales; Arecaceae
Description: long non-coding RNA (EGUI_LNC082570)
Source: RNAcentral
GACCCCUACGCGAGCCGGACUUCACCCCCGACUUUGACUGAAGGAAGACUCCAUCCGAACUCCUACAGGAGAUGGACUUCGUUUCUGACUCCAGCUACAGACUCCAACCAAACUUCAGCCGACAAGUCUGGACUCCCUGGCAGGUCGUAGUAACGGCCACGAUUCUGCUCCACUUCCUACGGCAGAUCCUAUGCGGCUCCAUUACUCCCUGCGGC